RNAcentral lists this ribosomal RNA (229 nucleotides) under uncultured bacterium. Its description in RNAcentral is "partial 16S ribosomal RNA". It matches the Rfam family "Bacterial small subunit ribosomal RNA", at positions 568 to 796 of the family's 1533-position model. The record is from RNAcentral.
UGCGCAGGUGGGCUUGUAAGUCAGUGGUGAAAUACUGCCGCUUAACGGUAGAACUGCCAUUGAUACUGCAAGUCUUGAGUAUGGUUGAGGUAGGCGGAAUGUGUUGUGUAGCGGUGAAAUGCAUAGAUAUGACACAGAACUCCAAUUGCGAAGGCAGCUUACUAAGCCAUUACUGACGCUGAGGCACGAAAGCGUGGGGAGCGAACAGGAUUAGAUACCCUGGUAGUCC